RNAcentral lists this ribosomal RNA (1089 nucleotides) under Staphylococcus aureus. RNAcentral's name for it is "bacterial SSU rRNA". It matches the Rfam family "Bacterial small subunit ribosomal RNA", at positions 150 to 1225 of the family's 1533-position model. The record is from RNAcentral. Lineage: Bacteria; Bacillati; Bacillota; Bacilli; Caryophanales; Staphylococcaceae.
CGGGAAACCGGAGCUAAUACCGGAUAAUAUUUUGAACCGCAUGGUUCAAAAGUGAAAGACGGUCUUGCUGUCACUUAUAGAUGGAUCCGCGCUGCAUUAGCUAGUUGGUAAGGUAACGGCUUACCAAGGCAACGAUGCAUAGCCGACCUGAGAGGGUGAUCGGCCACACUGGAACUGAGACACGGUCCAGACUCCUACGGGAGGCAGCAGUAGGGAAUCUUCCGCAAUGGGCGAAAGCCUGACGGAGCAACGCCGCGUGAGUGAUGAAGGUCUUCGGAUCGUAAAACUCUGUUAUUAGGGAAGAACAUAUGUGUAAGUAACUGUGCACAUCUUGACGGUACCUAAUCAGAAAGCCACGGCUAACUACGUGCCAGCAGCCGCGGUAAUACGUAGGUGGCAAGCGUUAUCCGGAAUUAUUGGGCGUAAAGCGCGCGUAGGCGGUUUUUUAAGUCUGAUGUGAAAGCCCACGGCUCAACCGUGGAGGGUCAUUGGAAACUGGAAAACUUGAGUGCAGAAGAGGAAAGUGGAAUUCCAUGUGUAGCGGUGAAAUGCGCAGAGAUAUGGAGGAACACCAGUGGCGAAGGCGACUUUCUGGUCUGUAACUGACGCUGAUGUGCGAAAGCGUGGGGAUCAAACAGGAUUAGAUACCCUGGUAGUCCACGCCGUAAACGAUGAGUGCUAAGUGUUAGGGGGUUUCCGCCCCUUAGUGCUGCAGCUAACGCAUUAAGCACUCCGCCUGGGGAGUACGACCGCAAGGUUGAAACUCAAAGGAAUUGACGGGGACCCGCACAAGCGGUGGAGCAUGUGGUUUAAUUCGAAGCAACGCGAAGAACCUUACCAAAUCUUGACAUCCUUUGACAACUCUAGAGAUAGAGCCUUCCCCUUCGGGGGACAAAGUGACAGGUGGUGCAUGGUUGUCGUCAGCUCGUGUCGUGAGAUGUUGGGUUAAGUCCCGCAACGAGCGCAACCCUUAAGCUUAGUUGCCAUCAUUAAGUUGGGCACUCUAAGUUGACUGCCGGUGACAAACCGGAGGAAGGUGGGGAUGACGUCAAAUCAUCAUGCCCCUUAUGAUUUGGGCUACACACGUGC